RNAcentral lists this ribosomal RNA (456 nucleotides) under Quadraseta brasiliensis. RNAcentral's name for it is "SSU rRNA". It matches the Rfam family "Eukaryotic small subunit ribosomal RNA", at positions 565 to 1025 of the family's 1831-position model. The record is from RNAcentral. Lineage: Eukaryota; Metazoa; Arthropoda; Arachnida; Trombidiformes; Trombiculidae.
UGCCAGCAGCCGCGGUAAUUCCAGCUCCAAUAGCGUAUAUUAAAGUUGUUGCGGUUAAAAAGCUCGUAGUUGGAUCUCAGCUCACGCUAAGUGGUCCACUUAAUGGUGGUUACUACUUAGCUGAGCAUUUUACAGAUUUGUCUCUUGAUGCUCUUCACCGAGUGUCAAGAGUGGUCUGUACGUUUACUUUGAAAAAAUUAGAGUGCUUAAAGCAGGCAACUCGCCCGAAUAAUCUUGCAUGGAAUAAUGGAAUAGGACCUUGGUUCUAUUUUGUUGGUCUCCGGAAUCUGAGGUAAUGAUUAAGAGGGACAGACGGGGGCAUUCGUAUUGCGCCGCUAGAGGUGAAAUUCUUGGACCGGCGCAAGACGAACUACAGCGAAAGCAUUUGCCAAGAAUGUUUUCAUUAAUCAAGAACGAAAGUUAGAGGUUCGAAGGCGAUCAGAUACCGCCCUAGUU